The sequence is a transfer RNA, 100 nucleotides long. It matches the Rfam family "tRNA". Rfam says of the family: Transfer RNA (tRNA) molecules are approximately 80 nucleotides in length. Their secondary structure includes four short double-helical elements and three loops (D, anti-codon, and T loops).
GACUCCGUGGCCAAGUUGGUUAAGGCGUGCGACUGUUAAAAAAGCUAUCGGCUUUCAACAGGUUAUCGCAAGAUCGUCAGUUCAAUCCUGACCGGGGUCG